Long non-coding RNA from Mus musculus (house mouse), 4637 nucleotides. RefSeq annotates it as predicted gene, 39984. The record is from RefSeq and is a predicted model, not a curated record. The transcript is spliced from 2 exons. NCBI's taxonomy places the organism in Eukaryota, Metazoa, Chordata, Mammalia, Rodentia, Muridae.
UUUGGAGGCGGUUUUAACUGAAGAACGCUAGGGAUGUGCAAAGCCGUCCUCAGAAAUCUCCUUCCUCAUCACAGGCUGUACCCUGUGGGAUGGGCGGAGACCGGAGGCCAGGUGCAGGUCCCAGGCUCAUCCUAGGGUCAAGUUCCCGGCCCCCAGCUCAGACCUGACACACUGGGAGGCUGGACUGCUGGGUUGCACAACCAGCUGGCCUUAGGAGUUCAGACCUGGGAGAGCUCUGAAAUGUCUCUGUUCUGAUAGGGAAACUGAGGCUCAGAGAAGGAAAGCGGUCUGCUCAGGCUCAGAUGGACAGUCUCAGGACCCUGAAUCUCUACUGGGAAUCAAACCUUCUCCACCCUCGGGACAGGUGGUUCAAGUAAAACAAUCGGCUUCCUGCUCAUCCAAGGGCACCCACCUGGCUCAGUCCUAACCAAUCAGAACAGUUCAUUCCUCCCUCUUACCCAACUGGUUCAGGUUGGUAGGUAAUGACUCCGUGGGCGGGGCAGCAGGUAUUCACUUCCGGUUUAACUGGGGUCGUUAAUAUAAGGCAGUUCUUCUUGUGCUCUCGGCUGGAGGGAACAACACCCAGGGGGCAGCCACCUCUGCCACUAUCAGGUGACUGACUACCCAAGAAUGGAAGGCACACAGGAAGCUCAUGGCCAAGGGAAAGUGAUACAGCAGGCUUUGACUGGAAAAAUCCCGGGAGCGAGCUGGACCUGCAAGCUGGCCGGAGAUUGCUCGACUCCACGGACUAGUACAUUCUCCCUUGUGCUGAAGUCGGUUGAGUUCUGUCACUCGCCCGCAAAAGGGGGUUCAGCUACGAAACAAGGCUCCAAAACAGGGUGCUGAGGGACCCUCUCUCCAUACCCAGAAUGUCCCCCAACUCCCUGUCACACAGCACCAACAUACUUUACAGGCAGUACUCAUGAGGGGAGUUCCCAACUGAUGGCCCAUGGCCAUUUUGUGUGCCCCUGCAGCCUGCUUCCUCCUUGGCCUUGGUCAGGAGCGCAGGCACGUUAUUUUCAAACUCAGCUUUGUCCAGCAUCCCCUGCCCUGAGGCUGUACCCAACAUAUCCUAUCACUUUCCUGGGCCUGGCUUGCUUGCUUGCUUCUUUUUCUUUCUUUCUUUCUUUCUUUCUUUCUUUCUUUCUUUCUUUCUUUCUUUCUUUCUUUCUCUCUCUCUCUCUCUCUCUCUCUCUCUCUCUCUCUCUCUCUCUUUCUCACACUCUCUUUAUUUAUACAUGUGGUUUUCUUUUCCUUUGUCACAUAGCCUCAUGUAGCCAAGGCUAGCCUUCAGCUUCUAACCUUCCGGCAGUGAGAUUUUACAGGCAAGCUGGCUGGCUUCAUGUCUCUGUAACCACAUUGUGGGAUGGGGGAAAGCACCUGUCCUGCCAGCUGAUUAAAGGAAUUGAAACAGGGGCCACCACUGCUAGAUAUGACAAUAGUGUCUCUUAGCAGGUGUUCCAGCCCGAGCCACAGAGUGGACUCUUCUUAGAGUCCACUUGAGAAAGGAUACCCUUCACAGGAAAACAAAAACCAAUGGAGACAGGGAGUCUGCCCUGGGGUGCGUGGGACCUCCCCUGCCGGCCCUUGCCGUUGCAGGUGCUUGCUCAGUUCCUUUGCCCAGCCCCUGAUCCCAGACUGGCACACAGGUGUGAAGAGAUACCCAUCCAGUGACUCACACUGCCCGAGUGGGGACAGUAUGAGUCCUGGCUUAGGCACGAGGAUCAAGUAACGGCAACUCAAGCCAGUUCCAGACCAGGCCAGGGACAGCUGGAUGGAUGUGCCUCUCUCAUAGGCAUCUCAGGCUCCCUGAUCAAACCCCGAACUGCCGCCCAGUCUCCAUCUAACCCCAACCCUUCCCUCACCCACGCCCACCAGAGCCCCUGAUAGGGAGCUGUGAGUUGAGGUGUUCAGCAGGUGUUACUCAGAGUACCUAGGGAUCUGGCAAGAACUGGGGGUCAUCGGGCAAAAAUACCUCACAAGUCAGAAAGGCCAGGAACAAAAGAGCCAAUGUCACAUGGUGCCAUUCAUACAAUUGGUAAAUGCACCAUUUAGGGCUGGUUGGGUCAGAGGACCAAGGGAAGGGUAAGUCUAACAGGGACAGGGUUUCUUUUGGAUGGGAGCAAUGCUGUUCCAAAAGGACAUUCUCGUGGGUGGUUUGAAUAAGAAUGGCCCACACAGGCUCCUGUAGUUGAAUGUUUGGUUCCCAGUUGGUUGAAGUGCUUAGGAAGGAUUAAGAGGUGUGGCCUUGUUGGGGAAGGCGUGUCACUGGGGGUGGGCUUUGAAAUUUCAAAAGCCCAUGCUAGGCCCUGUCUCUUUCUCUCUGUCUUUCUGUCUCUUCCCCUUUCUCCUCUCUGCUACCUGCAGAUAAGAUGUAAGCUCUCAGUCACUGCUCCCGUGCAUGCAGCCCUGGUCCCUGCCAUGACAGCCAUAGACUCCCCCUUCGACACUGUAAACAAGCCCCCGUUACAUGGUUUCUUUUAUAAGCUGCCUUGGUCAUAGUAUCUCUUUACAGCAACAGACAGUGGCUAAAGCAAGCCUAGUGAUGCUUACAGAGUUGGUUGGCAUGCAGGAUGGACCUAACAGUGCUCUGGUAUGCAGAACCAAAUGGCAGUUGUUCAUGGGUAAGCAGCGUGGUGCGUGCCUGAGUGGGAUAUCAUUGAGGGUGACAUGGCACAGCUGACUCCCAGGAACAGAGACUUCUUUUGCUGCCUGAAGCCUCUCUUGGCUUUUCUUUUUUCUUUUCUUUUUUUAUUUUUUUAAGAUUUAUUUAUUUAUUUACUGUAGCUGUCUUCAGACACAUCAGAAAAGGGCAUCAGAUCUCAUUACAGAUGGUUGUGAGCCACCAUGUGGUUGCUGGGAUUUGAACUCAGGACCUUCAGAAGAGCAGUCAGUGCUCUUGCAAGCUGAGCCAUCUCUCUAGCUCCUCUCUUGGCUUUUCAGUCAUCUAGGGGUGAGCCUUACCAGGGUUUGGUGGAUCCUGGUCGCCUAACAGUCACUAGCUUCCUGCUAGACGAAGAAGAGAAUACUCAUCUUUUUAAAAAAGUUUUUUUUUCAUAUAUAUGAGUAGCUGUUUUCAGACACACCAAAAGAGGACAUAGGAUCCCAUUAUAGAUGGCUAUAAUUCCCAUGUGGUUGCUGGGAAUUGAACUCAGGGCCUACUGGAAGAGCAGUCAGUGCUCUUAACCACUCUCCGGCCCCCAUGCUCAGCAUCUUGAGAAGCCAAGAUGUCUGGCUGUAUUUGUAUGGUUUCCUUGUUUUAUUUUGUUUUGAGGCAGGGUCUCCGGUAGGCUAAACUGAGCUCAGACCCACUGACGAUGAUAUCUGUGAUGUUCCAAUUGUUAACUUCAGGAAGUCACCGGGAGAUGGACCUCUGGGCAUGCCUGUGACAAGUAAUCUUGGUUAGGUUACUUGAGGUAGGAUGACCUACCUGCUAUGGAUGGCACUGAGUUGGGACACUGGACUGUAUGAAAAAAAAGAGAAACAUAAGCAGAAGUAUUCAUUCAUUCAUUCAUUGCUGUCUGCUUCCUGGAUGUGAAUGAGAUGUGACCAGCUGCCACUGGUUCCUGCAAUAGGAAAAGUGAAACAACCUGGAAACUCUGAUUCUAAUCCCCGGGGCCUGAGUGCUAGUGUCACAGGUGUGGGGAGGAGCCUGAGUGCUAGAGUCACAGGUGUGGGGAGAAGCCUGAGUGCUAGAAUCACAGGUGUGGGGCGGGGCCUGAGUGCUAGAGUCACAGGUGUGGGGAGGAGCCUGAGUGCUAGAGUCACAGGUGUGGGGAGGAGCCUGAGUGCUAGAGUCACAGGUGUGGGGCGGGGCCUGAGUGCUAGGGUCACAGGUGUGGGUUGGGGCCUGAGUGCUAGAGUCACAGCUGUGGGGAGGAGCCUGAGUGCUAGGGUCACAGGUGUGGGGCGGGGCCUGGGUACUAGAGUCACAGGUGUGGGGCAGGGCCUGAGUGCCAGAGUCACAGCUGUGGGGAGGAGCCUGAGUGCUAGAGUCACAGCUGUGGGGAGGAGCCUGAGUGCUAGAGUCACAGCUGUGGGGAGGAGCCUGAGUGCUAGAUCACAGGUGUGGGGCGGGGCCUGAGUGCUAGGGUCACAGGUGUGGGGUGGGGCCUGAGUGCUAGAGUCACAGGUGUGGGGCGGGGCCUGAGUGCUAGAGUCACAGCUGUGGGGAGGAGCCUGAGUGCUAGGGUCACAGGUGUGGGGCAGGGCCUGGGUACUAGAGUCACAGAUGUGGGGCAGGGCCUGAGUGCUAAAGUCACAGCUGUGGGGCGAGGCCUGAGUGCCAGAGUCACAGAUGUGGGGCGGGACCUGAGUGCUAGAGUCACAGGUGUGGGGUGGGGCCUGAGUGCUAGAGUCACAGGUGUGGAGAGGGGCCUGAGUACUAGAGUCACAGGUGUGGAACGCUAAUGCUGGCUACUCCAUCUUUUAUUUACCCUUUGUUAUUGAGACAGGCGGGGCCUCAGUCUUUCUCUAUAGCUAAGGAUGACCUUGAAUUUCUGAUCCUUCUGAGCACACCUGGUUUGUCUGCUAUUGGAAUGGAACCCACACUUCCUGCUCUCCGGGCAAGUUCUCCAUCAUCUGAGCCACAUCCUGAACUCCAUUCACUUAUAACUGUAAUAAACAUUUCCUCUUUA